GACGAACGCUGGCGGCGUGCUUAACACAUGCAAGUCGAGCGGUAAGGCCCUUUCGGGGGUACACGAGCGGCGAACGGGUGAGUAACACGUGGGUGACCUGCCCUUAGCUCUGGGAUAAGCCUGGGAAACUGGGUCUAAUACCGGAUAUGACUCCAUGACGCAUGUUGUGGGGUGGAAAGCCUUGUGCGGCUAGGGAUGGGCCCGCGGCCUAUCAGCUUGUUGGUGGGGUGAUGGCCACCAAGGCGACGACGGGUAGCCGGCCUGAGAGGGCGACCGGCCACACUGGGACUGAGACACGGCCCAGACUCCUACGGGAGGCAGCAGUGGGGAAUCUUGCGCAAUGGGCGAAAGCCUGACGCAGCGACGCCGCGUGA
RNAcentral lists this ribosomal RNA (374 nucleotides) under uncultured bacterium. Its description in RNAcentral is "bacterial SSU rRNA". It matches the Rfam family "Bacterial small subunit ribosomal RNA", at positions 28 to 404 of the family's 1533-position model. The record is from RNAcentral.